CCUACGGGCGGCAGCAGUGGGGAAUAUUGGACAAUGGGGGGAACCCUGAUCCAGCCAUGCCGCGUGUGUGAAGAAGGCCCUCGGGUUGUAAAGCACUUUCAGUGAGGAAGAACGCCUGGUGGUUAAUACCCAUCAGGAAAGACAUCACUCACAGAAGAAGCACCGGCUAACUCCGUGCCAGCAGCCGCGGUAAUACGGAGGGUGCGAGCGUUAAUCGGAAUUACUGGGCGUAAAGCGCGCGUAGGUGGCUUGAUAAGCCGGUUGUGAAAGCCCCGGGCUCAACCUGGGAACGGCAUCCGGAACUGUCAAGCUAGAGCGCAGGAGAGGAAGGUAGAAUUCCCGGUGUAGCGGUGAAAUGCGUAGAGAUCGGGAGGAAUACCAGUGGCGAAGGCGGCCUUCUGGACUGACACUGACACUGAGGUGCGAAAGCGUGGGUAGCAAACAGGAUUAGAUACCCCUGUAGUC
This 465-nucleotide ribosomal RNA is filed under the name Vreelandella stevensii. Its description in RNAcentral is "partial 16S ribosomal RNA". It matches the Rfam family "Bacterial small subunit ribosomal RNA", at positions 338 to 795 of the family's 1533-position model. Lineage: Bacteria; Pseudomonadati; Pseudomonadota; Gammaproteobacteria; Oceanospirillales; Halomonadaceae. The record is from RNAcentral.